Molecule: ribosomal RNA, 497 nt
Filed under: uncultured bacterium
Lineage: Bacteria
Description: partial 16S ribosomal RNA
Rfam family: Bacterial small subunit ribosomal RNA
Source: RNAcentral
GAUGAACGCUGGCGGCGUGCCUAAUACAUGCAAGUCGAGCGAACGGACGAGAAGCUUGCUUCUCUGAUGUUAGCGGCGGACGGGUGAGUAACACGUGGAUAACCUACCUAUAAGACUGGGAUAACUUCGGGAAACCGUAGCUAAUACCGGAUAAUAUUUUGAUCCGCAUGGUUCAAAAGUGAAAGACGGUCUUGCCGUCACUUAUAGAUGGAUCCGCGCUGCAUUAGCUAGUUGGUGAGGUAACGGCUUACCAAGGCAACGAUGCAUAGCCGACCUGAGAGGGUGAUCGGCCACACUGGAACUGAGACACGGUCCAGACUCCUACGGGAGGCAGCAGUAGGGAAUCUUCCGCAAUGGGCGAAAGCCUGACGGAGCAACGCCGCGUGAGUGAUGAAGGUCUUCGGAUCGUAAAACUCUGUUAUUAGGGAAGAACAUAUGUGUAAGUAACUGUGCACAUCUUGACGGUACCUAAUCAGAAAGCCACGGCUAACUACGUG